GAGUUUGAUCAUGGCUCAGAUUGAACGCUGGCGGCAGGCCUAACACAUGCAAGUCGAACGGUAACAGGAAGCAGCUUGCUGCUUCGCUGACGAGUGGCGGACGGGUGAGUAAUGUCUGGGAAACUGCCUGAUGGAGGGGGAUAACUACUGGAAACGGUAGCUAAUACCGCAUAACGUCGCAAGACCAAAGAGGGGGACCUUCGGGCCUCUUGCCAUCGGAUGUGCCCAGAUGGGAUUAGCUUGUUGGUGGGGUAACGGCUCACCAAGGCGACGAUCCCUAGCUGGUCUGAGAGGAUGACCAGCCACACUGGAACUGAGACACGGUCCAGACUCCUACGGGAGCAGCAGUGGGGAAUAUUGCACAAUGGGCGCAAGCCUGAUGCAGCCAUGCCGCGUGUAUGAAGAAGGCCUUCGGGUUGUAAAGUACUUUCAGCGGGGAGGAAGGGAGUAAAGUUAAUACCUUUGCUCAUUGACGUUACCCGCAGAAGAAGCACCGGCUAACUCCGUGCCAGCAGCCGCGGUAAUACGGAGGGUGCAAGCGUUAAUCGGAAUUACUGGGCGUAAAGCGCACGCAGGCGGUUUGUUAAGUCAGAUGUGAAAUCCCCGGGCUCAACCUGGGAACUGCAUCUGAUACUGGCAAGCUUGAGUCUCGUAGAGGGGGGUAGAAUUCCAGGUGUAGCGGUGAAAUGCGUAGAGAUCUGGAGGAAUACCGGUGGCGAAGGCGGCCCCCUGGACGAAGACUGACGCUCAGGUGCGAAAGCGUGGGGAGCAAACAGGAUUAGAUACCCUGGUAGUCCACGCCGUAAACGAUGUCGACUUGGAGGUUGUGCCCUUGAGGCGUGGCUUCCGGAGCUAACGCGUUAAGUCGACCGCCUGGGGAGUACGGCCGCAAGGUUAAAACUCAAAUGAAUUGACGGGGGCCCGCACAAGCGGUGGAGCAUGUGGUUUAAUUCGAUGCAACGCGAAGAACCUUACCUGGUCUUGACAUCCACAGAACUUUCCAGAGAUGGAUUGGUGCCUUCGGGAACUGUGAGACAGGUGCUGCAUGGCUGUCGUCAGCUCGUGUUGUGAAAUGUUGGGUUAAGUCCCGCAACGAGCGCAACCCUUAUCCUUUGUUGCCAGCGGUCCGGCCGGGAACUCAAAGGAGACUGCCAGUGAUAAACUGGAGGAAGGUGGGGAUGACGUCAAGUCAUCAUGGCCCUUACGACCAGGGCUACACACGUGCUACAAUGGCGCAUACAAAGAGAAGCGACCUCGCGAGAGCAAGCGGACCUCAUAAAGUGCGUCGUAGUCCGGAUUGGAGUCUGCAACUCGACUCCAUGAAGUCGGAAUCGCUAGUAAUCGUGGAUCAGAAUGCCACGGUGAAUACGUUCCCGGGCCUUGUACACACCGCCCGUCACACCAUGGGAGUGGGUUGCAAAAGAAGUAGGUAGCUUAACCUUCGGGAGGGCGCUUACCACUUUGUGAUUCAUGACUGGGGUGAAGUCGUAACAAGGUAACCGUAGGGGAACCUGCGGUUGGAUCACC
Molecule: ribosomal RNA, 1527 nt
Filed under: Escherichia coli 2720900
Lineage: Bacteria; Pseudomonadati; Pseudomonadota; Gammaproteobacteria; Enterobacterales; Enterobacteriaceae
Description: bacterial SSU rRNA
Rfam family: Bacterial small subunit ribosomal RNA
Source: RNAcentral